This 497-nucleotide ribosomal RNA is filed under the name uncultured bacterium. RNAcentral's name for it is "partial 16S ribosomal RNA". It matches the Rfam family "Bacterial small subunit ribosomal RNA", at positions 28 to 507 of the family's 1533-position model. The record is from RNAcentral.
GAUGAACGCUGGCGGCGUGCCUAAUACAUGCAAGUCGAGCGAACAGACGAGGAGCUUGCUUCUCUGAUGUUAGCGGCGGACGGGUGAGUAACACGUGGAUAACCUACCUAUAAGACUGGGAUAACUUCGGGAAACCGGAGCUAAUACCGGAUAAUAUUUUGAACCGCAUGGUUCAAUAGUGAAAGACGGUCUUGCUGUCACUUAUAGAUGGAUCCGCGCUGCAUUAGCUAGUUGGUAAGGUAACGGCUUACCAAGGCAACGAUGCGUAGCCGACCUGAGAGGGUGAUCGGCCACACUGGAACUGAGACACGGUCCAGACUCCUACGGGAGGCAGCAGUAGGGAAUCUUCCGCAAUGGGCGAAAGCCUGACGGAGCAACGCCGCGUGAGUGAUGAAGGUCUUCGGAUCGUAAAACUCUGUUAUUAGGGAAGAACAAAUGUGUAAGUAACUAUGCACAUCUUGACGGUACCUAAUCAGAAAGCCACGGCUAACUACGUG